This is a long non-coding RNA of Amphimedon queenslandica, 288 nucleotides long. RefSeq lists it as uncharacterized. The record is from RefSeq and is a predicted model, not a curated record. The transcript has 3 exons. NCBI's taxonomy places the organism in Eukaryota, Metazoa, Porifera, Demospongiae, Haplosclerida, Niphatidae.
CUAAAAAAGAGAGUUUUUGUGGAGUCAUUUCAAAAAGGGAUGCCUAACCUAAUUAUCACUUCUGCUGAUAACAUAUUUAUUUGUACUUUACAAAUUUAUUCUGAGGGUGAAAAUAGUGCUUUGCCAACUUUUGAUGAAGUUUUUUUAUGCUCUGAAUCUACUACACUUGAAGAAGUUACUAUAUUUUGGAUGAGGGUACUCAGUAAUCAAAAGAACAAUCGAAUUUACUGUUUACUUCAUGGUGAAAAACUACCAUACCUUAUUGCUGAAGAAUCAUUAGACCUACUA